This 564-nucleotide ribosomal RNA is filed under the name uncultured bacterium. Its description in RNAcentral is "bacterial SSU rRNA". It matches the Rfam family "Bacterial small subunit ribosomal RNA", at positions 100 to 680 of the family's 1533-position model. The record is from RNAcentral.
GGGUGUAGUAACAUCGUGACUAACCUACCCUGUGAGUGGGGGAUAACUGAGUGGAAACCUUAGCUAAUACCCGCAUAACACCUACGGGCUCAAAGGAGCAAUUCGCUUCUGGGAGGGGUGUCGCGGCCGAUUAGUUUGUUGGCGGGGUAAUGGCCCACCAAGACGAUGAUCGGUAUCCGGCCUGAUGAGGGCGCACGUGAUCACCACUGGAACUGAAACACGGUCCAGACUCCUACGGGUAGGCAGCAGAAUGGGGAAUUUUGCGCAAUGGGGGAAACCCUGACGCAGCAACGCCGCGUGGAGGAUGAAGUACUUCGGUACGUAAACUCCUUUCGAUCGGGACGAUUAUGACGGUACCGAGAGAAGAAGCCCCGGCUAACUUCGUGCCAGCAGCCGCGGUAAUACGAGGGGGGCGAGCGUUGUUCGGAAUUAUUGGGCGUAAAGGGUGCGUAGGCGGUUUGGUAAGUCUCGUGUGAAAUCUAUGGGCUCAACUCAUAGUCUGCACGAGAAACUGCCGGGCUUGAGUGUUGGGAAGAGGUGAGUGGGAAUUUUCCGGUGUUAGCC